UACGGAAGGCAGCAGUGGGGAAUAUUGCACAAUGGGCGAAAGCCUGAUGCAGCUAUGCCGCGUGUAUGAAGAAGGCCUUAGGGUUGUAAAGUACUUUCAUCGGGGAGGAAAAACAAAACUAAUAAUUUUAUUUCUUGACGUUACCCGAAAAAGAAGCACCGGCUAACUCCGUGCCAGCAGCCGCGGUAAUACGGAGGGUGCUAGCGUUAAUCAGAAUUACUGGGCGUAAAGAGCACGUAGGUGGUUUUUUUAAGUCAGAUGUGAAAUCCCUGGGCUUAACCUAGGAACUGCAUUUUGAAACUGAAAUACUAGAGUAUCGUAGAGGGAGGUAGAAUUCUAGGUGUAGCGGUGAAAUGCGUAGAUAUCUGGAGGAAUACCUGUGGCGAAAGCGGCCUCCUAAACGAAUACUGACACUGAGUGCGAAAGGCUGGGGAGCAAACAGGGAUUAGA
This 450-nucleotide ribosomal RNA is filed under the name uncultured bacterium. RNAcentral's name for it is "bacterial SSU rRNA". It matches the Rfam family "Bacterial small subunit ribosomal RNA", at positions 340 to 782 of the family's 1533-position model. The record is from RNAcentral.